UCCCUACACAACGUAGAUUCUUGAGGAAGGAGGAAGGCAAGGUCGUCGAUUGGUUGCCAAAUUCAUUGGCUUCUCAUUCUUCGAACUUGCUAUCGAAUAGAAGCUUGGUGCUUGGUUUCUGAUAAUUUAAGUGCAAGAUCAGUGAGUUUGGUUGCUGAUAAUUUAAGCACAAGAGCAUUGAACCUGGUGCAAGUCAUGCGAAGAAUAGGCUGAUGUUGAUUGCAGUUGAAUAGGACUGUUAGUUGUAAGUUCUGAAAGUGUUAGAUACUGUGUGUUGUAAUUUAAGUGGUAGAUGAACCUCUUUUUAUCGUAAUGUGCUGUAUUCCAGUGCAGAAACAUUGAACAACUUUACGGGUUGUGCUGUUUUGAUACGUGAAAAGUGCCUUCAUGUGUUUUUUUUGAACAUGGCUUUAAUUUAUAUGCCCAUAUUUUGCUGUUGCUUUAUGAAUGGGGGAAUGACUAUGUAUUUGUUAGUUAAAUUCUUUUGGAUGCUAUUAAAUGACAACUUGCAGUUUA
Long non-coding RNA from Neltuma alba, 516 nucleotides. RefSeq lists it as uncharacterized. The transcript is spliced from 2 exons. NCBI's taxonomy places the organism in Eukaryota, Viridiplantae, Streptophyta, Magnoliopsida, Fabales, Fabaceae. The record is from RefSeq and is a predicted model, not a curated record.